CGGACGGGUGAGUAAUGUAUGGGGAUCUGCCUGAUGGAGGGGGAUAACUACUGGAAACGGUAGCUAAUACCGCAUAACGUCGCAAGACCAAAGAGGGGGACCUUAGGGCCUCUUGCCAUCGGAUGUGCCCAGAUGGGAUUAGCUAGUAGGUGGGGUAACGGCUCACCUAGGCGACGAUCCCUAGCUGGUCUGAGAGGAUGACCAGCCACACUGGAACUGAGACACGGUCCAG
This 232-nucleotide ribosomal RNA is filed under the name uncultured bacterium. RNAcentral's name for it is "partial 16S ribosomal RNA". It matches the Rfam family "Bacterial small subunit ribosomal RNA", at positions 99 to 334 of the family's 1533-position model. The record is from RNAcentral.